CUGAUUACCAGACACCAGCUUGUUGGCAGAAAAGGAAAGAUCACAGCCUGCAGACAAAAAAAGAAUGUUAAGUUAAUCAGAUCAUUCAUAACAGGGUCCUAAGAAACCAAAAUCAAAUCUGGAUGGGAUACUAAGGAAUUCCAAAGAAAACCCAGAAAAUCUACUAAAAUCAGGUCAACAAACCAAGCAAGAAAAGCCACUUUUUUUGUUUACCGUCUUCAUGACUGAGACAAAGAACCUAAGUCAUCCAAGACCACCAGCAGAGUCGACAGGGUAGGUGGCACAUGAAGAGUCAUCUUUGGAAAACUAAACAGUAAAUAGAGAGGUAUGGGGUAGUCUUCCAAAAAUCGUGUUUUGUUACUAAUGCCAGUUUCCUCUUUUAUGAGCAUGACCAGAAUCAACACACCAUCAGAUGUUUCGUUAGUCUUGCUGCAGCAGCAAAGAGGAUUUUGCUUUCUGUGAAGAUAUAUAUUUGUGUUUGAAUUUUCUGACUUUUUAGUUGAUGAUGAAAAUCUUUUGGGAGUGCUGUAUGAAAUGCAAAACACGUUUCAAAACAGCUUGGUGUCUGUCAAGUUCAAAUGUGCUGGCAUCUGCACUUGCAGCAACACAUACAGCUCCCAAAAAGAAUCUGCUUUGAAAAUUAUUAUCAUGUUUCCUCAAAUAAAAUUAAACAUAUGGCUGGUUAGAAGCCGCCACAAGAUUUUCCACAGGUUAUGUUAUAUCCAUUACAGAAAGAGCGCAAAAUCAUUUUUUUUUUUUUUUUUAAAAAAGGACUGAAAACCCACCCAUUAAGACGUGAACUUCGAAAGCCUGACAUUCAAAUAUAUUUGAAAGUAACUUCUAGGGUAUUCAUUUUCUUUCUCCUUCUACCCCUUUGCAAUGUGAUGAAUUCUCUUGUAUUCUCCAUGUUAGAUGAUAUAGCAGCACUUGUACAUUCAUAGUGCCUGUAGUAGUGCUUGAAGGGCCUCCUUACAUUUGCAUUUUAAUCUAUAAAAUGUUUUUUCAAAAACUGCCUCAUGUGUGGUUUGGAAAGAUUCAGUCAAUGUUAUUUUUUCCACUGUGGGCAUAUUUUCAAUUUUUCUUUUAUAUAACCGUGUAUUAAUUGUUUAAAUGAUUGAGACCAUACUCUGAUCUAUGCUGUUUAAAAACAUUUACUUGACUACCUCCUUCUUUGAAAUUUCACUUUUUUUUUUUUUUUUACAAAGUGCAUUAUUACCGCUUUUACCUCUGAAUAGUUUUACUCUUUAGUUGUAAACCUCUCCUUCAGAUUCACUGUGUUAUCACUGAUACCUAAUAAAAUUUAUCCGGAAAAUGGAACAGGUGUGCAAAGACAGACGCCAGUGAGCAAGCAAGUAUAUCCUCAGUCUGGAAACAUCAGCAACCAGAACGGUCAGGCAUGUUUUAGUCUUUUACAUGAAGAUAAAUAACUAUUUUUUACUCUUUCUGUAGCGUAUGAGUUAGUUAUAAAAAUACAAAAUGAAACAAGAAGUCCAAGUAUCAUUUUUAAUCCAAUAAAAUUGUAAUAGUUUCCAACAGUUAGAAUUUUCAAGGAAGGUGUAAGUAUUCUGCUGCAUUCAUGUGCUAAGGAAAUUUAUGGAGUUCCUACUUGUGAGGUCUCACCUUCUCACUUUAUUGUGCUCACAUAAAUUUCCAGUUGGGUUUUGGCAGGAAUCAAGGGAUGUUGUUAAUUUACUAUUUGGUCCACACAACAAGAAAUUAAAGCGAAGCUCCAUUUUUUUUUUUGGGUGAAAAAAACCAACUAGACAAAUUAAGCACACACUCCAUCACUCCAAAUAAAGUUAAACAAAAAAUGUCACUUUAGCCUGGAGAGGUUAUUCCUAUUUUAUUUGAUGUUAUUCAAUGAGGUUAGAGGUUAAUUUUGUGUCACAACUCAGUUAAUUUGUGUAGCACAGUUUUCUCUGAAUUUUCCCACUGGGAGCUACCACUUCAAAGGUUGUUCAUAUUUAAUUUCCCACCGGGAAACUCACAUUUACAUUCUGAUCACACCAUGUGAAUUCUACAUUACUCCAAAUGUCUUAUGAUAUUUAUUCCAACCAAAAAAAAAAAAGAGGCAAAAAGACUAACCAGCAAUUUUGUGUGAUUUGGUACUGUAGAGCUCAGGACAAGAAAAAGUGAGCUUUAAAGUUUAUAGAGUUAUUUGGAAAACAAAUAAACAAUUUCCUUUCUUGUGAUGUUAUUUUAAGACCUGAUGAACGCCUAUUGAGCACACCCACAACAAUGACCCAGACAAACUUUUCUGCCAGACAAAACUACUUCCAUCUUUCUAGGGACAGAUCCGACAAUGAAAACCCAGACAGCACUCUAUUCGCAGCAAGUCGCAGUUACCUGUGGCCUGUCACAAGCUAAACAAGUUUAUGCUGAUGCAAAGCAGAGCUUAGGAAGACCAGCAAACGAGACACAAUGAGACAAAAGUUUACCACACAAAUGGACUGAUUCAUGCCACGCCAGCCUUCCCAUCCCCCUUCUGUCUCAGGCUUUUCAGUUCUGCAUUCGUCAGACUCAAUGGGGCUUUCAGAGUUAAGAGACCAGAGGGAAUUAUGAAGGGGUGCACCUCCCCCUUUCAGAUGCCCAAUAUCACGAUAAAAAGAAAGCAAACUUAGCAGAACUCUGCACCCAGUGCCCACCGUCAACCAGAGUCAAUUACAUAUUUGGUCAAACAUUCUUCUGACUACUGGUUUCACUUUAAUUGGACAAUUUCAACUCACAUGUCAUGAACAGAGAUUAUACAGAGUGCACUUCUAUUAUUUUGAUCUUGGCCUAUACGUAAAAUAAUAUAUUUGAUUCGCAAGGUUAUACAUCCUGUUAUGUUAAAUACAAAUAAAAUCAAUUUCAUGCAGUGGUACAUCCAAUUUAUCUUCUUUUGAUGAUGCAGCAGUACAGGGUGGUCCAGAUGUAAUUAUGCAAUUUUCAUUACGCUAUAACUUAUUAAGUUUAUUA
This is a long non-coding RNA of Polypterus senegalus (gray bichir), 2958 nucleotides long. RefSeq lists it as uncharacterized. The record is from RefSeq and is a predicted model, not a curated record. Lineage: Eukaryota; Metazoa; Chordata; Cladistia; Polypteriformes; Polypteridae. The transcript has 3 exons.